RNAcentral lists this ribosomal RNA (492 nucleotides) under uncultured bacterium. RNAcentral's name for it is "partial 16S ribosomal RNA". It matches the Rfam family "Bacterial small subunit ribosomal RNA", at positions 29 to 507 of the family's 1533-position model. The record is from RNAcentral.
AGUGAACGCUGGCGGUAGGCCUAACACAUGCAAGUCGAACGGCAGCACAGUAAGAGCUUGCUCUUACGGGUGGCGAGUGGCGGACGGGUGAGGAAUACAUCGGAAUCUACUUUUUCGUGGGGGAUAACGUAGGGAAACUUACGCUAAUACCGCAUACGACCUACGGGUGAAAGCAGGGGAUCUUCGGACCUUGCGCGAUUGAAUGAGCCGAUGUCGGAUUAGCUAGUUGGCGGGGUAAAGGCCCACCAAGGCAACGAUCCGUAGCUGGUCUGAGAGGAUGAUCAGCCACACGGGAACUGAGACACGGUCCAGACUCCUACGGGAGGCAGCAGUGGGGAAUAUUGGACAAUGGGCGCAAGCCUGAUACAGCCAUACCGCGUGGGUGAAGAAGGCCUUCGGGUUGGAAAGCCCUUUUGUUGGGAAAGAAAAGCAGCAGGUUAAUACCCCGCUGUUCUGACGGUACCCAAAGAAUAAGCACCGGCUAACUUCGUG